ACUACAACCUACUAUUGGGAUAAUCUGCUUGUUUCACGUGAGGACGAUCACAGACUGUUGGAAGACCGUUCACCAAAGACCACGAAGAUAUGUCAAUCAGGAAAUCUAGCAUAUUUUUUUUUUCAACUUCAGAGUGCUUGUGCGUGGAAUCAAAGUGGUGUUUAACAAAGAGUUAUGAGAUUGAUCGCUGUUCGUUAUCUUCACCUUUCAUCACUUCUGGUUUACUAACCACAGAAGGAUAGAUGAGUGAUUUCUGGGGCCUGGAAAAUUGAUGCUUAUCACUGGACCAGGAGAAAGUAGGCUUACCUUCACAACGUGAUCCAUGGGACUGAAGAAAUGCGGCUUACCUUAAAAUCUUGGUCACCAUUGUAGGAAGGGAUCGUAUUUCACAGCUAGCCCAGUGACUUGAUCCAUUAUUUUUUAUAGUGUAACACGAUAUGAUGAAGAAACAGAGUCAGAAAUUGUAUCCACCUGAAUAUUUUACGUCGAAACUUCGAAGUGAAAUAAAGAUUUCUAAAAACUGCAUAAA
This is a long non-coding RNA of Ostrea edulis (European flat oyster), 529 nucleotides long. RefSeq lists it as uncharacterized. Lineage: Eukaryota; Metazoa; Mollusca; Bivalvia; Ostreida; Ostreidae. The record is from RefSeq and is a predicted model, not a curated record. The transcript has 3 exons.